RNAcentral lists this ribosomal RNA (660 nucleotides) under Bacillus subtilis. RNAcentral describes it as "bacterial SSU rRNA". It matches the Rfam family "Bacterial small subunit ribosomal RNA", at positions 73 to 717 of the family's 1533-position model. The record is from RNAcentral. Lineage: Bacteria; Bacillati; Bacillota; Bacilli; Caryophanales; Bacillaceae.
UGGGAGCUUGCUCCCUGAUGUUAGCGGCGGACGGGUGAGUAACACGUGGGUAACCUGCCUGUAAGACUGGGAUAACUCCGGGAAACCGGGGCUAAUACCGGAUGGUUGUUUGAACCGCAUGGUUCAAACAUAAAAGGUGGCUUCGGCUACCACUUACAGAUGGACCCGCGGCGCAUUAGCUAGUUGGUGAGGUAACGGCUCACCAAGGCAACGAUGCGUAGCCGACCUGAGAGGGUGAUCGGCCACACUGGGACUGAGACACGGCCCAGACUCCUACGGGAGGCAGCAGUAGGGAAUCUUCCGCAAUGGACGAAAGUCUGACGGAGCAACGCCGCGUGAGUGAUGAAGGUUUUCGGAUCGUAAAGCUCUGUUGUUAGGGAAGAACAAGUACCGUUCGAAUAGGGCGGUACCUUGACGGUACCUAACCAGAAAGCCACGGCUAACUACGUGCCAGCAGCCGCGGUAAUACGUAGGUGGCAAGCGUUGUCCGGAAUUAUUGGGCGUAAAGGGCUCGCAGGCGGUUUCUUAAGUCUGAUGUGAAAGCCCCCGGCUCAACCGGGGAGGGUCAUUGGAAACUGGGGAACUUGAGUGCAGAAGAGGAGAGUGGAAUUCCACGUGUAGCGGUGAAAUGCGUAGAGAUGUGGAGGAACACCAGUGGCG